Non-coding RNA from Callorhinus ursinus (northern fur seal), 515 nucleotides. Lineage: Eukaryota; Metazoa; Chordata; Mammalia; Carnivora; Otariidae. The record is from RefSeq and is a predicted model, not a curated record.
UUUGCAGCAGAAACACCCUGCUAAAGAACAAGUAUCUUGGUUCACAGCAAAGAGGACAAAGGAAAACAGCAAGUUAUAGGGAGUUGAAUGCUGGAUUGGGUGUCCUCUGAAAGGCCACAUCAACUGCAUCUCAGGACCAUAGACAGUUGAGGAAGAGGAAGGAUUUAUUUGUUUUGCUGUUGUUGCUGACCAUCGGUUAAAAGUUUGCUGUACUGGGACUUAACUCCCCAGAAGGUCCAGACUGCAACUGUGGACACUAAAUAAGACCACUCACACCUCAGGGUCAACAAAGAAAUUCUGGGUUGCACAAAGGAAAGCAUGAUAUCCUGCCAAUAAGACCAAAUAAGCCAGUGUUCACCUGCAGAGCUCAGCGAAGCAGUGCACCCAGGUGGAUACUGAACUAAGAUAAAGGCCAAGGAUGAGGUGGAGUGGCAAAGAGGGGGAAGAAAGAGGGAAGGAAGACAUAGUUUCAAAGAAAAUCAGCAGAAGGAAUUGGCAAAAUGGAAGACCUUAAA